GACGAACGCUGGCGGCGUGCUUAACACAUGCAAGUCGAACGGACAGGCCCUGCUUUUGUGGGGUGCUCGAGUGGCGAACGGGUGAGUAACACGUGAGUAACCUGUCCUUGACUUUGGGAUAACUUCAGGAAACUGGGGCUAUUACCGGAUAGGAGCUCUUGCUGCAUGGUGGGGGUUGGAAAGUUUCGGCGGUUGGGGAUGGACUCGAUGCUUAUCAGCUUGUUGGUGGGGUAGUGGCUUACGAAGGCUUUGACGGGUAGCCGGCAUGAGAGGGUGGCCGGCCACAUUGGGCCUACGGUACGGCGCAGUAUGGUACGUGACGCAGCAGUGGGGAAUAUUACACAAUGAGCCGACGCCUGAGGCAGCGACGCCGGGAGCGGGAUGACGGCCUUCGGGUUGUAAACCGCUGUCGCCUGUGACGAAGAGUGAGUGACGGUAAUGGGUAAAGAAGCACCGGCUAACUACGUG
RNAcentral lists this ribosomal RNA (468 nucleotides) under uncultured bacterium. Its description in RNAcentral is "partial 16S ribosomal RNA". It matches the Rfam family "Bacterial small subunit ribosomal RNA", at positions 28 to 507 of the family's 1533-position model. The record is from RNAcentral.